This 2912-nucleotide long non-coding RNA is filed under the name Homo sapiens (human). Its description in RNAcentral is "HSALNT0251529". Lineage: Eukaryota; Metazoa; Chordata; Mammalia; Primates; Hominidae. The record is from RNAcentral.
AAUCAAGCCUGGGCAAUGGCGGGCGCCCCUCCCCCAGCCUCGCUGCCGCCUUGCAGUUUGAUCUCAGACUGCUGUGCUAGCAAUCAGCGAGACUCCCUGGGCAUAGGACCCUACGAGCCAGGUGCGGGAUAUAAUCUCGUGUUGCACCGUUUUUUAAGCCUGUCGGAAAAGCGCAGUAUUCUGGUGGGAGUGACCCGAUUUUCCAGGUGCCGUCCAUCACUCCUUUCUUUGACUCAGAAAGGGAACUCCCUGACCCCUUGCGCUUCCCAAGUGAGGCAAUGCCUCGCCCUGCUUCGGCUCGCGCACGGUGCACGCACCCACUGACCUGCGCCCACUGUCUGGCACUCCCUAGUGAGAUGAACCCGGUACCUCAGAUGGAAAUGCAGAAAUCACCCGUCUUCUGCGUCGCUCACGCUGGGAGCUGUAGACCGGAGCUGUUCCUAUUCGGCCAUCUUGGCUCCUCCCUCUGAAGAGUCCAACAGAAAAUUUUAAGUACCUGUUUAAAGCAAUUUACAAGAUACUGUGGAGAUUCCCAGCAAUAAAGAAUGUACUAUAGUUAAGCUGGAAUCCAACUCCUGAAUUUCUGGAGCCCUGAAGACCACUUAGUCUUACUCACAAGAAUUGAAUGGAAUGUGAAUCUACACUCAGGUGAAGCCAGGGUAUUUUGAACGUCCCUACAAGACUGAAGCACCACUGGGAAAUAAGUAAUAGAGAUGCCAUCAUUGUGGAGGUCAUAAUGCUUGUCCUGAACACGAGGGGUCUCUAGUGAGGCACCAAUUCAGCUCCUCUUCUGUGGAGAGACUACAUGGGUGCUGAAGAAACAAAGACACAACGCAGCUCCUCUCAAAGGAGUUCAGAGCUUAGCAGGGGAGACAGAACCAUGAAUGCAUAGUUACGCAUCAAUGUGCUGCACGAGCACUGAAGCCCAAGCACAAGCGGCCUGAGUCCCAAAAACAUUUGCUGACUGCUGUUCUAUCUAGGAUAUCAUCAGUGUGUAGAUGAUCAGAGUUCAUGUCAGUGUUCCUACAAGCCAAUGAAGCCCACUAGUCUGGAACAAGUCAGUCUCAAACAUAACAACAGACACUGGGGAGCUCUCCAACAAAAGAUCACCUCCCAAAGAACAGGAUGGUGUCGAAGACUGAAUGCCAGCCUGAGGAAACAGAAAUACUACAGAAGCACGCCAGAGCCUGCAGUGUCUCCUCGCUGCCUCUCAAUGAACUGCUAAAAGACCAAGAACUCUGCUGAGAGAUAAGAAGAGGGGAGGGUGUGCUGCAGGUGGUGCUGGGAGGCCCAGACCUUCUCCUGACAUCUGGGGCUGGCUACAGGAAACAGAAACAUCACCCAGGCCUUGGCGCGAGACAGGACAGAGGCAGAUUGUGACUCAGAUCUGCAGGUGGAAAGUGGGCCUUUCGUUUUCUCCUAGGGGUAGAGCAAAGCCAGAGGGCUCAGUCAGAGGAAACCUAAGGCAGUUCAUGAUCCCUUCAACUUUAUACCAUUUCCUCAAAACUGCCUCCAAACAGUGGGCAACUGGAAAGGUGGUCUGACCUCCAGUGAUCACACAGUAUGCAUUAUAACAGAAGGCUGUCACUGUCAAUUGCAUGGCUCCCUCACUAUGCAUUCCUUCUAUCAAUUUACGACAACACACUGUAGUGAGUACCUGCACAUUGCUGGGUAUUUUGGCAGACAUUGAUAGUAGAUGAAUAACACCUGGUACUUGACCUUGAGACGCUCACUGCCUAGUGUGGGGAACCAAUGGUUGCAAUAUAAAGUAUUAACUAGAGGGAUAGAGGACUGCCUGAGGAUCUCUGCACUCAGAGGAAGGGCCAUGAGAUCAGCCAGGACAGUAGGGAGGCAGUGACUCAUGAAAUUAGCAAGUGGUGAGAAGAGGGCAGUAGAUUCAGCGGCUGCUAAAAAAGGUUACUGAACUUUUUGUUUCAUCAAUGCCAAGAAAUUAAUCUGUUUUAGCCUCUUUCAUGGCCUCUGUUUGAAAUUUUUUAACUUUUUUUUUUUUUUUAGAUUUAGGGGUACAAGGACAGUUGUAUUGCAUGAGUAUAUCAUAUAGUGGUGAAGCCUGGGCUUUAAGUGCACCUAUCACCCGAAUAGCGUACAUUGUACCCACUAGGUAGUAUUUCAUUUCUCACCCUUCUUCCACCUUUUGGAAUCUCCAGUGUUUGUUGUUCUACUCUGUAUGCCCAUGUGUACUCAUUGUUUCACUCCCACUUAUAAGUGAGAACAUGUGCUUUUGACUUUCUGUUUCUGAGUUGUUUCACUUAGGAUAAUGCAUGUUCCUGUUUUGAUUCAGUCAAAAUCCUGGGGUCAGCACUGACAAUGUGAUUAACCCCUGUCCUAAAUUCACUGCAGAGGAACUGCUCCCAUAUGACUACUUAUUACCACCCAAGCCAGAAACCACAAAGAUAUUCUGACCUCUCCUCCUUCACUCCCCACCAACUGGUGAGUAAGCUAGUCACCAAGUCUUGAUUCUACUUGCAAACAUCUUUGGAAGGGAUCUCUCACUCCACACAGUCUCUGUCAUUGCCAAGUAUACCCAUUACCUCUGCUCUGUCCUACGGCUCAUCAUUCCUCAUCUACAUGCUGCACCAACCUCCUAACUCCCAUUCCUCCCCCUCCUAGUUCACUGCCAUAGCGUAAUCUUUCUAUAUCACGGAUCAUAUUGUGUCCGAAAUUGGUGGGUUCUUGGCCUCACUUACUUCAAGAAUGAAGCUGCAGACCCUCGUGGUGAGCGUUACAGUUCUUAAAGGUGAUGUGUCUGGAGUUUGUUCCUUCUGAUCAUGUUCGGAGUUUCUUCCUUCUGGUGGGUUCGUGGUCUCGUUGGCUUCAAGAGUGAAGCUGCAAACCUUCAAGGUGAGUGUUACAGCUCUUAAGGCAGCGCAUCUGGAGUUGUUUCUUCCUCC